CUACGGGAGGCAGCAGUGGGGAAUAUUGGACAAUGGGCGAAAGCCUGAUCCAGCCAUGCCGCGUGUGUGAAGAAGGCCUUUUGGUUGUAAAGCACUUUAAGCGAGGAGGAGGCUACUUAGAUUAAUACUCUAGGAUAGUGGACGUUACUCGCAGAAUAAGCACCGGCUAACUCUGUGCCAGCAGCCGCGGUAAUACAGAGGGUGCGAGCGUUAAUCGGAUUUACUGGGCGUAAAGCGUGCGUAGGCGGCUUUUUAAGUCGGAUGUGAAAUCCCUGAGCUUAACUUAGGAAUUGCAUUCGAUACUGGGAAGCUAGAGUAUGGGAGAGGAUGGUAGAAUUCCAGGUGUAGCGGUGAAAUGCGUAGAGAUCUGGAGGAAUACCGAUGGCGAAGGCAGCCAUCUGGCCUAAUACUGACGCUGAGGUACGAAAGCAUGGGGAGCAAACAGGAUUAGAUACCCUGGUAGUCCAUGCCGUAAACGAUGUCUACUAGCCGUUGGGGCCUUUGAGGCUUUAGUGGCGCAGCUAACGCGAUAAGUAGACCGCCUGGGGAGUACGGUCACAAGACUAAAACUCAAAUGAAUUGACGGGGGCCCGCACAAGCGGUGGAGCAUGUGGUUUAAUUCGAAGCAACGCGCAGAACCUUACCAGCUCUUGACAUUCGGGGUAUGGGCAUUGGAGAUGAUGUCCUUCAGUUAGGCUGGCCCCAGAACAGGUGCUGCGUGGCUGUCGUCAGCUCGUGUCGUGAGAUGUUGGGUUAAGUCCCGCAACGAGCGCAACCCUUUUCCUUACUUGCCAGCAUUUCGGAUGGGAACUUUAAGGAUACUGCCAGUGACAAACUGGAGGAAGGCGGGGACGACGUCAAGUCAUCAUGGCCCUUACGGCCAGGGCUACACACGUGCUACAAUGGUCGGUACAAAGGGUUGCUACACAGCGACGUGAUGCUAAUCUCAAAAAGCCGAUCGUAGUCCGGAUCGCAGUCUGCAACUCGACUGCGUGAAGUCGGAAUCGCUAGUAAUCGCGGAUCAGAAUGCCGCGGUGAAUACGUUCCCGGGCCUUGCACACACCGCCCGUC
This 1071-nucleotide ribosomal RNA is filed under the name uncultured bacterium. RNAcentral describes it as "bacterial SSU rRNA". It matches the Rfam family "Bacterial small subunit ribosomal RNA", at positions 339 to 1398 of the family's 1533-position model. The record is from RNAcentral.